This 403-nucleotide RNase P RNA is filed under the name Oscillatoriales cyanobacterium SM2_1_8. Its description in RNAcentral is "RNase P RNA component class A". It matches the Rfam family "Bacterial RNase P class A". From Rfam's summary of the family: Ribonuclease P (RNase P) is a ubiquitous endoribonuclease, found in archaea, bacteria and eukarya as well as chloroplasts and mitochondria. Its best characterised activity is the generation of mature 5'-ends of tRNAs by cleaving the 5'-leader elements of precursor-tRNAs. The record is from RNAcentral. Lineage: Bacteria; Bacillati; Cyanobacteriota; Cyanophyceae; Oscillatoriales.
GGAAGGAGGGGCGAUGGUUGCGGAGAGGUUCGCCUUUUCGAGGAAAGUCCGGGCUUCCACGAAGGCAAGGCUGCUGGAUAACGUCCAGUGCGAGCGAUCGCGAGGAAAGUGCCACAGAAACAUACCGCCGACGGAUGUUCCAAGCUGGUCUUGGGCAUUGCGGGCAAGGGUGCAAUGGUGCGGUAAGAGCGCACCGGCCGUAUCGAGAGGUACGGGCCUGGUAAACCCCAGUCGGAAGCAAGGCGAAGCAACGACCCGGUGCCUUCAACGGGAAAAUUGCAUACCCCUUUGGGGUUGGUGCCGCUUGAGGUGUUCGGCAACGAACGUCCCAGACAGAUAACCAUCCCGAUGGUGCCUACGGGUGCGAUCGGAACAGAACCCGGCUUACGGCCUGCUUCCCCUU